Molecule: ribosomal RNA, 460 nt
Filed under: uncultured bacterium
Lineage: Bacteria
Description: partial 16S ribosomal RNA
Rfam family: Bacterial small subunit ribosomal RNA
Source: RNAcentral
CCUACGGGAGGCAGCAGUGAGGAAUAUUGGUCAAUGGGCGCGAGCCUGAACCAGCCAAGUAGCGUGAAGGAUGACGGCCCUACGGGUUGUAAACUUCUUUUAUCAAGGAAUAAAAUGAGGCACGUGUGCCCUUUUGUGUGUACUUUAUGAAUAAGCAUAGGCUAACUCCGUGCCAGCAGCCGCGGUAAUACGGAGGAUCCGAGCGUUAUCCGGAUUUAUUGGGUUUAAAGGGAGCGUAGAUGGGCUGUUAAGUCAGUGGUGAAAGGUUGCGGCUCAACCGUAGAAUUGCAGUUGAUACUGGCAGGCUUGAGUAGAGUAGAGGUAGGCGGAAUUCGUGGUGUAGCGGUGAAAUGCUUAGAUAUCACGAAGAACUCCGAUUGCGAAGGCAGCUUACUGGACUGCCACUGACGUUGAGGCUCGAAAGUGUGGGUAUCAAACAGGAUUAGAUACCCCUGUAGUC